Oncorhynchus tshawytscha (Chinook salmon) is the source of this 1973-nucleotide long non-coding RNA. The record is from Ensembl. NCBI's taxonomy places the organism in Eukaryota, Metazoa, Chordata, Actinopteri, Salmoniformes, Salmonidae.
AGCAGAUCAGCUCACAGAGCAACAAAUGUGGCCCACACCCAUUCAAGGGAGAGAGAGAGAAAAAAAAACACAUUGCGCAUAGGUCUCCAACUUAACACUCCUGUCAACUUAACAUCAUAACAGUUGCACAAAUUCAUCACGGAAAGGGAGUUGAAAGAAAACGUAUUGCUUGACUUGGACUUGUAUUGACUGUUCAUCAUGGAGGCACCAACAACAGCAGGUACAAUAAGCCACUCGGCAUCGGAAGAGGCCUUCAGCCACAUGGUCAGUCACAUCAUAGAACUCUUCACACAGCCCUCCGUAGCUGGAGUUCUGAGAACAACUUCUGCACAAAUGAUUGAAACAAUCUCAGACACUUCUGUGGGAGCUCUAACAACAACUUUUCUACAGAAGACUGAAACAAUUCCAGAUGCUUUUGUUGGAGUUCUGAGAACAACUUCUGCACAAAUGAUUGAAACAAUCUCAGACACUUCUGUGGGAGUUCUGACAACAACUUCUGCACAUAUGACUGAAACAACCUCAGAUGCUUUUUUAGUGGGAGCCGCCAUCGUAAAAGGUGUAUCCUUUGAAGUCCUUUUCGUAGGAGUCAUUCUUGUGGUGGUACUGGUGGUGGUACUGGUACUGGUGCUGGUACUGUGUCACAACGGCAAGCAUAAGGGCACUUACCACACCAACGAGGCCGAGUGUGGUGAUUCUGAUUCUGUCGACACGUAUGGUGUUGCCUCUCAAAGCGAACUUGAGAUUUUGAAUGAGGAAGAAUAGAAAGAAGUACACUUCAUUUGAAACAGGACUUUUUCCGAUUCUAAACCGGGGCCAGUUGUCAACUCAAGAUGCCAAAUAUUUUCUACGGAAUUGGUAAUGCCUAUGAUGGUCAUCUAAUUUCAAGGCAACAUUUAUAUGGGGCAUACAACCAUCUCAGCUCUACAGAUUUUGCCACGAAGAGACAGAAUCGUUAGAUCACUUAUUUUUGUAUUGCCCAUAUAUACACUAUAUAUACAAAAUUAUGUGGACACCCAUUAGUGGAUUUGGCUAUUUCAGCCACAUUACAGCCUUAUUUCCCUCAUCAAUCAAUAUAAAGAAACACUUUAAUAAACAAUUAAUAUUCAUUACAUGUGACUAACUUCAAGCUUACAAUUAGUACAGUAGUUAAACCAAUAUCAGAUUGUUGAGGUUUCGAAAAGAUGUAAAAACUAGAGAAAUUUUACAAUCCUUUUUGUCUUCCUUUUAAAAAAAAUGUUUAUACUCAAAAGAUAGUACCUUGUUUGAAUUUCUAUUAUGAGGGUGUUGAGCGAGCUUAAUGCAUAAUAAUGUAUAGCAUUGCUGAAUGUAAUAUCUGUUUUCAAUUUUUUUCUAAAUUGACGUCCAGUAGUAAUCUGAGCUUGUAAAAUGAAAUCAAGGCACAGGCAUCUUUCCUAACGCCAAACUGGAUGUUUUGGUUUUUUUGGCCUGAAGGUACCAAUAACUGAGUAAAGGAAAUGUUACGGCAAGGACCAUAAGAACACACAAAAAUACUUUCAUGAAACUUGAGACAUUUCACCUAUGACAAUACUGGGAACAAAACAGUCAAAAAAAUGUAAAUUCCCCUUCUUCUAAUGCAAGUCUCUGUAACUAAUAUAUUACCAUGUGAUUAAAGAGAAGCGACCUUGUUUUGCCUGAUGAAAACAGUGUCUAAUUAGCAGUAAAACACUUGUUCCAGAGAGGAAGGACUUUUUGUAUCAACAAGGCAACAACAGGGAAGUUUCAAAAGGAAACUGAAGACAGCCGAAUCACACUGCCCCAGCUAGGUGGAAAGGCUUCCAUGUAGUUCAGAGAGGGCAUAUCAACAGGAACGGCCUGAUAAAUGCUCAAAGUAUUAACAUCCCAAAAUACUGUAUCUGUGACUAAAUGUGGUCCAGUUUCUGUUGACGAUAAUGCAUGUCUGUUGUUCUAUCAUGUGAAAGUCCCAUUCGAUUAGCGUUGCGUAUGUAUCAAGC